UCUUGAUUCGGGCUUCUUAUAUGAAUUAUGUAAUAAACCAUGCCUACCUCAACUUUUAAACUCUCUCAUAUUUGGUUUUUAAUCAGACCUAAACAAUAUGUGAAAGUCAUACUAAUUAUAUACUUUCUUUGUUUAAGGAGGUAUAUGUGAGCCUUUAUUUGUGCAUGUGCUUUCCCCAAAAUAUGCAAUAUCUGUCGCCCUAGAUUUUUACCUUUGAAACUUGAAAUAAGCCUAAUAUCCCUCCCUUUUUAGGAUUAGUAGUUCUAGGUACCCCUGGGACUGAUAGGAGUAGGAUGGGUAAUAGCAUGCAAUAAGCAAUCGAGACCAAUCCGUGCUUUAAAAACGUCAACAGGGUAGGAAGGGUAGAUAUGGAUAUGAUGACCACACGAUAAUGUCACGUGUAGACCCUUAUUGAGGAGUGAUUAUCGGUCAUUGUGUGGGAUGAUCCGUAUUUUUAAUAAAACUAGGACCCCCUUUCCAUUUAUUCUUUACUUCUUUUCAGUAUUUUUCAAUCAGUUUUUCUAAAUUGCUCUUUCAAAUAUUGUUUACUCCCAAACAAUUACGUAUUGAAAUCCCCUCUUAUUUGAGCGUUAUUUUUUUUCACGAGAAACAAGGCAGAAUAGCUGGAAGAAAAAUAUAUAUAGCUAGGGUUUGUUCAUUCAGUCAUAUUUUGAGUUGGGGAGCUCGGAUUUGGGCGAUUUUGG
This 704-nucleotide long non-coding RNA is filed under the name Nicotiana benthamiana. Its description in RNAcentral is "long non-coding RNA (NBEN_LNC021882)". The record is from RNAcentral. Lineage: Eukaryota; Viridiplantae; Streptophyta; Magnoliopsida; Solanales; Solanaceae.